Molecule: ribosomal RNA, 331 nt
Filed under: uncultured bacterium
Lineage: Bacteria
Description: bacterial SSU rRNA
Rfam family: Bacterial small subunit ribosomal RNA
Source: RNAcentral
CGCGUAGGCGGCUCUUCAAGUCGGGUGUGAAAGCCCGCGGCUCAACCGCGGAAUUGCACUCGAGACUGGCGAGCUCGAGGACGGGAGAGGAUGGUGGAAUUCCCAGUGUAGAGGUGAAAUUCGUAGAUAUUGGGAAGAACACCGGUGGCGAAGGCGGCCAUCUGGACCGUUUCUGACGCUGAGGCGCGAAAGCGUGGGGAGCAAACAGGAUUAGAUACCCUGGUAGUCCACGCCGUAAACGAUGAGUGCUAGACGUUGGGGGACCUAGUCUCCCGGUGUCGCAGCUAACGCAUUAAGCACUCCGCCUGGGGAGUACGGCCGCAAGGUUAAA